RNAcentral lists this ribosomal RNA (253 nucleotides) under uncultured bacterium. RNAcentral describes it as "partial 16S ribosomal RNA". It matches the Rfam family "Bacterial small subunit ribosomal RNA", at positions 524 to 776 of the family's 1533-position model. The record is from RNAcentral.
UACAGAGGUGGCAAGCGUUGUUCGGAAUUACUGGGCGUAAAGGGCGCGUAGGCGGUCUUGUCAGUCCCUUGUGAAAUCCCCCGGCUCAACUGGGGAACUGCACGGGAAACAGCAGGGCUUGAAUCCGGGAGAGGGAUGCGGAAUUCCAGGUGUAGCGGUGAAAUGCGUAGAUAUCUGGAGGAACACCGGUGGCGAAGGCGGCAUCCUGGACCGGUAUUGACACUGAGGCGCGAAAGCCAGGGGAGCAAACGGG